Non-coding RNA from Rattus norvegicus (Norway rat), 3338 nucleotides. The record is from RefSeq and is a predicted model, not a curated record. Lineage: Eukaryota; Metazoa; Chordata; Mammalia; Rodentia; Muridae.
CUGGGCACUGCAGAGAGUACAGUCUAUCGUCAGAUUUAAACAAAACAAAACAAAACAAAACAAAAAGCAAACCUCGGCAACUGUAUAAAUCACUUAUACAUUUAUAAAAUUAUACUUAUACAUUUAUAAAUCAUUUAUAAACUGUAUAAACACACAAUUUCAGAGCAAUCUGUUGUGCGAUGGUCGGCUCAUUAUUUUAACCAGUGAUUAGGGGAGCAGUUGAGCAAUAUUUACAUGUGUAAAUCUAAGAAUGAGAAAGACAGAGUUUUGCAAGGAUAGCUCACUGAGAGGCAAAGACCCUAUUUUUAAAGACAGAGUGUUUCGUGCACUUCUAUAUCUGACUGGGAAGGUGAUUUAUUCUGCCUUUUGCAGGAAUUAAUACUGAAAUUAAUAUUAAUCAAAGGCAGAGGAGAUGAGAGCAGAGGAUGGUCCUGUGAUGGAUGGUCACACGCUUCUCCUUGCCGUGAAGUGUCUCUCCUUCAGCAUGCCUGUUCCCACCCCUUUCACAGAUUUGCCUUGUCUGGAAGACCUUGAUGGCGGCCUCAUUAGGACACCCCUUAUUCUGUAGUUGAGACCCAGAGAAGUUUAGCAGUUUGUUUAGCUCGCAUAGUUGGUUAGUAACAGAGCUGGUCCUAAAAUUUUGGAUCAUUUCCAAACCCAGUGUUUGCAGUAUUAUAUUACACUGGGAAACACUCGUGCUGAUCACUGUGAGCACUUGAUAAAUACUGGAUUUGUAAGAGCAGCCUAUUUGCCUCCGAUUGCUGACUGUUCUCUUUCAAGUCAUAUUUAUUUGAACUGAAAACUACUGCCUUUUGAUGGCUACUCGGCUGCCUAUAGGAAACGAGCUGGUGUGUGCGUUCCAGCCCUGUUGGACAGCUGAACCCAUUGCAACAAAUCAACGUCAAAAGUGGCACUUCAGGGGGAACACAUACCAUUUAUUUAGUACCCCCAGGGGAGUAGCUCAAAGUGAUUUGAUGAUGUCUCAUUAAUCCUCAUGACACCCCUGUGAGAUAAUAAUACUAUUAUUAUAAUGUUUAAGUGUAGAACUGUGUGGCAAAGCAAACAGCUUCUCAGAGCCUGUGCAGGACUGACUGCUUUGCAUUUCUGUCCCCAAUAUUCAAGUCUAAGAAAAAACCAUCAGGUUUGCGAGCAGCAAGUGAAUCUUGGCAUUUGGCCUUUCUGUUUGCUCUACAUAUAGAUUUGGCUUCUGACUGACCAUAGCAGGGAUAGAAAUAACUUUGCAUUUGCUCACCAGAUGGGAAGCAACAUCUGGGAGAAGCUCUGAGAUAUCCGAGGAUGUGAAAGGAUUAGGAACUAUCCUAACCCACAUUUAAAGAGGAGAAGGAACACUUACCCACAUACUAGGUAUUGUGCCUUACGAACUUUAAAUAUAGAUCUUGCCCUUAUUGAGAAUUCAGCUUAUAUAGAAUUCAGAGGAAAGGCUACGUAAGUUUGUGCCUUUAGUUAACAAUACAAGAAUUCAACGCUUUUAGUUAACAACACAGGAAAGUAUGUAAGUAUGUAAGUAGUAUGGAAGUAACAAGAUAACCUGUAGCCACUGAAGCCAGGCAGGGCCAUGGUGAUCCUGAAUCAUAUCAAGUUCAUUUCUGUCUCGGUCUUCAGACUUUCUCUUCCAUAUCCCUCAAACGCUCUUCCUCUGGUUUUUAGAGAAACAUUCAUUAGAUAACUAAUGGUAUCUAAAAUUCUUCAUGUGAAAAGUAAACAAUGCCUUCCCUUACCAUUCUUGUGUGAUUUUAAAUAAAUACUCUUUCCCUCUCUUCCAUCAGUGCUCUGUUAUUCUGCUUCCCUAUCUUCCUUGGAUUGAUUUACUGAAAUUAUAUUUUGUGUAUUCAUUUACAUACAUAUAUAACAAUGGAUUUUAUUAUAAUUUUAUAUAGUACAUAUUGUAUUUUAAAAAUCAUAGUCACUCCACUUUCCCUGUCUUCCCACCCUCAAAAGAUUCCCUUCCUCCUCUGUCUGGUCUCCUUUCUAGUUUUGUGGGUUUCUUUCCUCCUCUGUCUGUCUCUCUGUCUAUCUGCCUUUCUUCCUCUCUGCCUCUCUACUUAUCUUCUUCUUUCUGUCUCUCUGUGAUUUUUAUAGGGGAUUGUGUACAAGAUUAUGGAUUCUCCAUCAGUGAUGACACUACUGAAGACAAGGGUUCUUUCCCAGUGACCAUUAUCAGGGAGAGAGAGAUCUUGAACAGUUCUUGGCACAUAUCGAAUGCUUAGUAGAAGAAAGAAGAGGUUAGGGGUGAGCACAGGAGGCAUGCUGGCACAGGGGUUGCUACAGGACAAGUGCAGUUGAAGAAGUACAGCAGCAGAAAAAUGAUUAUGAAGCACCAAUUUAAACAUGAUAGAUGAUGAUGAAGGAGUUACUGGAUUUAACUUCACUGCAAAGAAGGACUCUGUGUGUACAGAGGAAGUCACUACAAAAAUAGAUGCAGCUCUGAGUUCUGACUUUGGCUAAGAUGUCUCUUGAGUGUCCCUCAGAAUGACCCAGCAGUCUGUAUCCUCACACGGCAGGAUGAUUUUCAGAAAAACGUUUCUGUUCAGGGAAGAUGAAAAUCCUGUCAGCAAACAUGCCAGCUUGAGAGGUAGGGUGACAGUAUUAGACCAAGAUUUUAAGUAAGCACACUGCUUUCUUCAUGAGCCUCUGCACAUGAAAGAAAAUAAGCAGGCACAGGGACACCUGCAUGGCCUUUUCUGAUUCUGGCUAAUUUAUUGAAAUGCAGGCACAGUCACCUCUAAUCAUAGAUAAGGUGCAGUUAAUGAUGAGAUAGGCUGUGACGGCUCCUGGUAUGUAGCAAUUAUUCAUUUGCAGAUGUGAAUCUUCUCAACGCUCAACACUGAGUAGAAACAAUAGAAUGGUUUCAAGAGCACCACUGAACAUACAUUUUUCUGGCAAGGGGAACAUUAAAAACAGUACUACAAUGCUGUCCCCAGGGUUUUUCUCCAAAUGGAUUUGACAAAGGAUGUUUUAAAGAUUUCUAGAGAAUUCCUGUAAUUUGUGUCCUCAUGUGUCUCCUGUGAACUACUCUGUUGUAAGACCCUGGAUGAGCUGCAAUUUAGCUCUUUUAUUUCAAGAGCUAAAAGGAAUUAUUUUAGUCAUGUGAUUGAGCUGACAUUAUUGUGAACUAUUGAACAUAAGUUAACAUGAAAUUGAAAAGCUUUUACAAACACUUCUGAGAACCUGUUGAAACAUUAUAAAGUCAAGGGCAAAUUUGAUUGAGGUUUUUUGUAUUGCUAGUCUGGGAAAGCUGAAACCUAUUUAUUAAACUAUACUAAAUCGUAUGGCAUUAUUACCUUUUCAUUGGUUUUGCAAUGGGGUUGACAAAGCAA